UUUUUUUUUUUUUUUUUUACCCAAGAGCAGGUUGCGGAACAUGCACUCACUACACCCUAGAAGACAUGGGAGUAUGCAUCCCCGAAGGGAGGAACCCAGGAGAUCUGGCUGUCCCAGCUAACUGCGAUUUGGUUUCAGUGCCAUGGAAUUGGUUUUGUUUGCACAGUUGUGUAGUUCAUCAAACUAAGUUCACCCUAGCCUCCCCUUAAGGAAUGUGGAGUUAGAAGACUAGGGUCUGAGGAGCUUCCUGUGAGAACUACUUUCUGUUGCUCCCUUUCUUUGCUUGUUGACUUUGUAACUCACUGCUUUUCUCCUGUCCUCUCUCUUGACUAAUUUGUCAGCAGACUUUGGAAACGCUGAACUUGAUGAACAGAGCCAGUCUAAUACAUUUCCAACUUAAGCAGUGAUUAACAACUUUGAGAGCAAAGUUUAUCUGACAAGAGGAAGCCAAGUACAGAUAUUUAUUUUUAAAAUGCACAUUUCAAUACUACUACUUCUCAACCUGAGAUAGCAGUCAAAAUAAACGAAGCUGGACACUAGUUAAAGCAGUAAGGACAGACUUUAUAUUCAGUAAUGCCAGUCCAAUAGGGAAGAGAGUGUAAUAUGAACAAACCCCACACUUCCCUGAAACAAAAGGCUGAGGUAUGCAACAGAGAAAGGCACAAAAGGAUCUUAAGUUUUGGGGGUUGGCGGGCGGCUGGGGGGGGGCGGUGGUUUGUUGAUUGAUGUGACUACGCCAUUUGGGUUUGUUAACUGGCUUGUAUCCAGAGAAGAAACAAACUUCUAUCUUCAUGAUAUGAGGCAGUGGUGCUAGCUAAAGCAAGGUACUUGCCUCCUAUAGGGACCAGGAGCUAGGGUGAAUUAUCUCCCUGAAUAUUUACAUUUCAAAGAGAUGGCUCCCAAGUCUUUGAGGAAACUGUUUUGGGUGGUAGACUUACAUCACGAAGGGUAGAGAAACAAGAUUUCUAAGGUAACUGCUCUAAGAAGGGGUCCAGUGACCUAUCUGCCUAUCACCAAGUUUUGGCUGGAACAAACAGUAAAUUCUCCAGGCAUUGAGUUUUGAUUUCAGGGAAGCAUUUUAAUGGGGUCUGGGACCAGCCUAGGGACAAGGCCUUAAGCUACUGGAAGCUAUGCUAGAGUAUAAUUAAGUCUCUCAGUGCUGAGAAAAGAACUUUUACAUGAGGAAGGUGAAUCCUUUAAAAUUAUCAGGCCCAGAGAGACAUUAAAAUGAGACAGCAAUUACACCUAUUCCCCACUUUGUUAUGUAUUCAUCUCUUUAAACUGCUUGCUAUAGCCACAAGUAGCUACCAAUUAACUAAUAAUGGCACACUGGACACGGUAACUCACACUCUAUAGCUUAAUAUAUAGCCAUUCACUAAUCAAUGCUAUUUCUACAAACCAGUAAUUCUUUACAACUUUGUAUCAGUCAACUCCCUGUCCCCUUUUUGCCUUUAAAAACCUGAUUGUAACGAAGGCGGACAGGAGCUCACACUCAAGGUUACUUGGGUCUGGGUCUUCUGGGCAGCUGUCCUCACUUUGGCUAAAGCAAAUGCUUUAAAUUCUAUUUCGUGCCUCAGCAUCUGAGACACAGCUAGGUUGACAGUGUAAAGGUUUGAACAGUCAAUACCUAUCAAGAGUUCUGCAGUUUUCAGAACAAUGGUUGUCAAAAUUUGAUUAAUCUGGCUCUUAAGAUGGUCAGUUUUGUAACCUCGGUGUAUUGGAACCGCACAGAAAUAGCGGCUCAUGUAAGCAAAAGUCAAGUAUUUGCCACAUCAAUAAGCUAAUAUAAAUGAGGUAAGCCUGAUUACAAGCUGCUUUGGACAAUCUGGGUUUCCAACUUUCAGUGUGUCCGUUUGGCUAAUUUUUGCCUCUCGAGUUUCUUCCCCAGUAUUAAGGGUAUUGGCCUCUGUUCCUCCU
Long non-coding RNA from Macaca fascicularis (crab-eating macaque), 1917 nucleotides. Lineage: Eukaryota; Metazoa; Chordata; Mammalia; Primates; Cercopithecidae. The record is from Ensembl.